This is a long non-coding RNA of Branchiostoma floridae (Florida lancelet), 673 nucleotides long. RefSeq lists it as uncharacterized. NCBI's taxonomy places the organism in Eukaryota, Metazoa, Chordata, Leptocardii, Amphioxiformes, Branchiostomatidae. The record is from RefSeq and is a predicted model, not a curated record. The transcript has 4 exons.
ACCUGUCUCUGGCGUGCGGGGGCAGGUGUGACGCUGUGAAUAGUACACAAAGAUUAUUCUGUCUCUUUGCAUGCAGUUCUGGUCACCACUGGCUGAGCUUGUCCAGGUAGACCCACAGGCCAGAGCUGACACAUCGUCUUGUUGGGAGACUCGUGCAGUAGUUUCUAACACCACAGCUUAUGAUGAGCACCAACCUCUUCUGUACUGCUGUUCAUGGGACAUGGAAAUAAAAUGUCAGCAAGUCCACGGCAGGAUGCACUCCCGUGGCGAAGCAAUCUUGAUGCUGCUUCACGGUCCACUCUGCAAUGACGAGAAGGCGUAUCCAAAUCAGAGACGUAGAAGUGACGGCCCAGAAUUGCAUGGAAUGGCGCAGGAUGGUCCACAAGAGACGUCGCCUUGAUGCAGACCACUUGACACAACGAUGAAGAGACCUUAUCAAGUAUCAAACAUGACCGUAAUGUCAUGACCCAGGACCAAUAGGUCGAUGCUCGCCAUGCCCCAACCUUGUGCCCUUGGGAAAGGCACUUUACACGAUAUACUGUGGGACUGUGGAAGGAGAGCGACCCCGUGGGCGUCAGAGGAAAACCUGGCAAGACAACAUCAGCGAUUGGACAUCGCUUAACCUACAGGAAAGACUGGCUGUAGCAGAAGACAGAGGGGCCUGGAGACAACU